Molecule: long non-coding RNA, 392 nt
Organism: Hemicordylus capensis (graceful crag lizard)
Lineage: Eukaryota; Metazoa; Chordata; Lepidosauria; Squamata; Cordylidae
Exons: 3
Source: RefSeq, a predicted model, not a curated record
CUGUUAUAGGCCAAGAUUUUAGAACAGAGGCAACAAACUCAUCAAUUAAAAGUUCCUCUUAAGCAUGGUCCUCUGGUAGCAUCUCAAGGAGUGGAACCCUAGAGAGGGUAUCAACUGCAGUGAGGCUGUUUCCAGGCCUAGGACCUUGAUUGCUGGGCAGCCUAGGAGAAUCAUGUGGAGACCAUCCACCACAUAUAUCUCUUGGAAUAUAGUGUCUCGACCAUGUCUGAGGGCUGGAGAUUUGGCUACUGGCAGAGCUGACUACUCUUUCUGAUGUCAAACGCCACCUUUCACCAGGAAUCUGAUGUCAAACAUCAGAUACUUAUUGUGCAGAGUCAGAAUUUGGGAGAUGAUUUUGAUAUGCCAGUUCUAGAUGAGAUCACGCUCCCCCG